RNAcentral lists this non-coding RNA (47 nucleotides) under Schistosoma margrebowiei. Lineage: Eukaryota; Metazoa; Platyhelminthes; Trematoda; Strigeidida; Schistosomatidae. The record is from RNAcentral.
GCACUACUGAGGAGUCCUACCAAUAGGACGAAACGGCCGUCCAGUGC